GGUGUAGUCAUGGCUCGACUGAUAGUUUUAAUUCCGCAUUUGUUUCGGUUAGCCGGCAAAAUAAGUUUUAGAAAGGACUAUUCAUCCCCCCCCUCUAGUCUACCAUCUCGACCCUUCAUGGGUGGUACACAUUAUGUAAGCAUGGUGUUUAGAUAUUGCUUAUCUAUGAAUGCACUCUGUAUGCCGGGACGUGUGGUAGAUCGUAGAUGUGAUAGACCUAUUGAGGCCUCUAUAGUCCUCCCCCAUGUAGCCUA
RNAcentral lists this long non-coding RNA (254 nucleotides) under Sorghum bicolor (sorghum). RNAcentral describes it as "long non-coding RNA (SBIC_LNC016405)". The record is from RNAcentral. Lineage: Eukaryota; Viridiplantae; Streptophyta; Magnoliopsida; Poales; Poaceae.